RNAcentral lists this transfer-messenger RNA (408 nucleotides) under Candidatus Daviesbacteria bacterium. It matches the Rfam family "transfer-messenger RNA". From Rfam's summary of the family: Bacterial tmRNA, also known as 10Sa RNA or SsrA, is named for its dual tRNA and mRNA-like properties. Lineage: Bacteria; Candidatus Daviesiibacteriota. The record is from RNAcentral.
GGGGACGUACAGAUUCGACGGAUUUGCACUUUAACAAUCGCAAGCUGUUUAGGAAACAUUAAACAUUAAAUAUUGUUUCAAAAAUAAAUGCUAAGGCAAAAAACCUUACAUCCCAAAUGGGGCAACUUUUAGCCCUCCGUGGUUUUAACCAACCACAGUUGGCUUAUUUAGGCGCCGCAUAAGGGUAUUUUAGGCUAAUCUCUAUCUGAUGGAAUGCUUAAGAUAUGUACAACAGUCAGAUUGCUGUCCCGAUAGUUUUGUUUGAUCUAUCGGGAUUUAAGACAACUCAAUCAAGUAUUGGUUUUCCUGCUAGAAGGUUACAAUCAUUACUUAAAAAUAUUCUAGCUAAGCUUGUAGAAGUUGUUAUUUUAUAAAUUCACACAGGGCUCAAUGCCCUCGUCUCCACCC